GCAGGAACUGCAGCAUCUUGCCCAUGUCGUUGCAGGCGUUGUCCCGGGCCUCCUCCAUGCGCUGGGCAUUCUCCGGGGAGCCGAAGGCCUUGAUGACCUCGGCCAGGACCACUAGGGCAGAGGCACAGCAGAUGCUGAGAUAUAAAUGCCCAGGACCCAACUUUGAUGGAAGGACAUCCCUCCAGGUCUCUCUGUGUAGCCCAGCCAUCAAACUUCCCCUACUCCCACCCCCAGCACCUCAUCUCCCAACUUAGGCAGUAGGAGACAUCAGGAGGUCAAGGAGUCUGGGAGCUGCAGCCAAGACACUGCCCACAUCAGCACCCAGUAAGAUAAGAGCAGCCAUGUGAUGCUGAGUGUGCCCGCUAGCCUCUCUCUGGUGUGCUUGCAUUUUCAGGAGCUGAAACACAUUGGUCCAAAAGGAUAAAGACUUAAAACUUAAAAAAAAAAUUGUAUAGAGUGUUCUAUGCUAUUA
Long non-coding RNA from Mauremys mutica (yellowpond turtle), 472 nucleotides. RefSeq lists it as uncharacterized. The transcript has 3 exons. The record is from RefSeq and is a predicted model, not a curated record. Lineage: Eukaryota; Metazoa; Chordata; Testudines; Geoemydidae.